GUUUUCUUGUUUAGCAUUCAUAGAAUGUAAACCUAUAUCUAUUUGUAUUUAAUUAUCCGGUUCUUGAUAUUACCGUAUGUAAAGUCUCAUUAGCUUCGGGGGAAAACAGUUUUGACUUCUGAAAUAGAGCUGAAAUAAUCUGCGGUAAUUUAGAUUAAUGUAGGAGCUAGUUGUUUAGUCAAAAUUUAAUGCCAUUUUAGAUGAGCCCUUCAAUUCUAUAAACUGAACAUUUAUAUGGUAGCUAUGCAACUGAAUAGGAUAAAUUAAUUUCAAAAUCUGGCAUCUUUGCAUUUGAGUGUGUUUCAGAUUAGGGUGCCCGUGAUGCCAUCAUGCUGGCAUGUACAUCAUUAAUCUAUCCCACCCAUUCAACCACCUGAACUGAUGCCUAAGGCUUAUGUCUUCUAAUUGUUGUUACUUAUAUUUGUUGGUCUGACAUUGUCCAGAAGCUGGGAAAUAUGCUAAGAUAGAAAACAGAAGCAUCAUUUGCUUAGACUGGCAAUUUAGAAAGUAUUCAAUCACCUGGGUUUUUCAAAGAAAAUUUUCAGUUACCUAUCUCUGAAAGAGCUUGUAGUCAUCUGUCAUCAGUUAUUCCCUGUAUCAAAGUGCUGUGUAGAUAACUUUUGCUAGAAACUUGGCUAUGUUUAGUCAUUGUGUGUUCAAAAUUUGAGAAAAAUGGCUUAUGGUAAGGGUUAAUAAUAUUGUCACUGUCAGACACUCAUGCUAGGAAGUCAAAGGGUAGGACCAAUAGAUAGUUUCAUGAUGCAAUUUAUCAUAUGGCUGAAUGAGGAAGGAAUCAAGGGUCCAAGCAUCAUUAUAUGCAAAUUCUCAUAUGGCUGGAUGAGUGGGAAUCAGGGGUCUGGAACCCCUAAAUGGAUGUAAACCUUUUUGGAAAAGAUUCCAUCCUCCUACAUCUUCCAUAGAUCUGGCUUCUAGUUGGUUCAACUAGUCGUUUAGAUGUCAGUUUCCCAUUAGCCAUGAGCAAAUAUACAUAUGAAGGAGAUAUUUAUCAUUUCCAUAAGAUGAGGCCAGUUUUGUAAAAACUUUUCCUUUUCUCGUAUGGUUAAAUAAGUGGGGAAUCCAGGUCCAAGAGCCCCUAAAUGGAUGUAGCCUUGUGGUGCCAGGGCGUGGAAAGUAUUCAAUCAUCUUUUCAUAAAUCAGGCCUAUUGUUGGCCCAUCCAGCUUUAGAUUCAGUUUCUUGGUAGCAGUUCUACCAUGAGCAACUGUUCAUAUGAAGGCCAUAAAGUAGGGAGUGAUUUUAGUGAAACUCUUCAUAACUUCUUACUAAAAAAUAUGAAAAAAAAAAAUGGUAACUGUGUUCUAAGUCAGGUAAAGGGAGAGAGAGUUGUAGGGGUUUAAAUCCUUGACCACUUUAACUUCUUGAUAAUUAUGAAAUGCUGCUUUUAUCUUCCUCGAGGUGUUAGGAUCUCUUAUUCAUUUAUUUACCUAAUACUCUCUUGGCCCCUGAAUCUGGGUUGGGAGCUGUGAAAUGAGAAUUUUUCUAGUUUCAGUACUCAUUAUUUCAGAAAGAAAAUUGCAACCAUCGGGCUGAUAUAUAAAACUAAAAGAACAUUCCAUUUCCAGCUAAAUGCAAAUUUAUUGAUUGAACAAAGGUUUUGAGAAACAAAAACUGACAAAUAUGCAAACAAAUCCAUCAUACUCAACUAAACUCAAAUCAACUAAGUUUUUAUCCCAAAAAAAUUUAAGAUCGGUUAUAUGGAUUUUUUUUCUCUAUUCUAAACAAUUUUGGGUUA
RNAcentral lists this unclassified non-coding RNA (1751 nucleotides) under Hevea brasiliensis (rubber tree). The record is from RNAcentral. Lineage: Eukaryota; Viridiplantae; Streptophyta; Magnoliopsida; Malpighiales; Euphorbiaceae.